ACUAAGUGUUAUUAUACUUAUAUAUACAAUUACAACAGUGAAUACAUUUCACUUACGCAACUGCAGACAGCUGCUUAAUACAGUCACACUUGUCUUGACUUGGCUAUUUMAAACAUACAACCGCUWACAUYYYCGCAUKGUAUWMCWCSSYUMCGWAGGMAARGAAAACMCGKUGUUUYCUYCMUGGRAAGYSGGGGGGYUUCAUCCCCMCCRGGUUAUCCACCAAUAAAACCUUUAAKGAAUACYCCAGGRAAAGUUGGMUAAAUACGGWACGRAGUUCACUUACUUUACUUUACAMAAUCCCCSCCGGMAUAAUACAAMAUUGCWUUACUUUUCUGUUGKGCGSGCGSGSGUGAUUUWAAAAACAAYUGUAWUAUWAAUUUAUUWWUACCUGCCUWCGWAACCAAASGCKAAAUGCUUGYGUUGACUCRUAGUUAUAAUUAUWUUAUACAWUUAGACUAUAYACUCAGCACUCARUGGUARACUUAUGCGUCUGYGAUCACUUCUGUCCUCGGACAAUGCACUUACGUAUUGAUGUKGUUCUAAACUGCAACAWGAGAGACAUUGAGCMCGCAGUSUUUUGGUCACUUGUGACUGAUUGACAUCUACGCUGAGCAGACUUUGAGAUUCUUUUAAUUUCGAAGCAUGUCAUACAAGCAUCUACAGCAUCAAGUCACAGGGUUGGCAAGUGUAUUAUUGAACCUUCAAAGCAGUCACGCAUACGGAAGAGUAGUUUCUGAUCCCAUAGAAGGAGCACCGUACAAUGAGAGACCGCUYUUAGUUCUAAGGAACGCAGCAGGCGCGUAAAUUGCCCAAUGCUAGUACCCUACUAUCAUUAAAUAAACAAUUUCGCAGACAUACCGUAUAUUAACACUUACUAAACUAUCAUAUAUACUAAUACAAUUAACCUUGUUACGCUGCGCACUCAAAUUAUUUAACAAAUCAUUUACUGAGGCAGUGACAAGCUGUAACGGUUGAGUAUAAUAAUGACGAGUGUCUGGCAUUGCCGCUGCCUUCGGGUUAGCUUGGCAAUAUUGCCGACGCUUUGUGUGCUCAAUUGGAAUGCGGUGAGUUUAAGCAACUCAGAACCUUUGGAUGGUAGUUCUUGAUCUNNNNNNNNNNNNNNNNNNNNNNNNNNNNNNNNNNNNNNNNNNNNNNNNNNNCCGCGGUAAUACCAGCUCCACUGGCCUAUACAAUCAUUGUUGCGGUUAAGAGGCUCGUAGUUGGAUUGAACAAUUGUGUAACUCUUACGCUCGCGUAGCUCACAAGUGUACUAAGCGAUGUAUCAUGUGCAUAUGUCGUACUCUACACACGUGUUUCUAAACACCACACAUAGCGCCCCACACAUCUUAUAUAUGAGAUAUAUUAUCACACGAAUUAUACCGUGACACGCUCGAGACGCGAGAUAAUAUAUUUUUACACUGUGAGCACAUCAGAGAGUAUCUCACACAUGGUAUUUGAAUACGCACAGAAUGUCUUAUCACGGGAGGUGUCCCUUUUAUUAUAUAUAUGACCGUUUGGCUAAACUAUACACUCAUUACUCGUAUUCAGCUUUAGCGGACAGACUCUUUAUUGAGUCUCUUUUUUUGUUAAAAUAAUUAUGUCGAUGGGGAUAGUUGGAGUCAACAGUACUGCUGGGCGAGAGGUGAAAUUCAUUGACCCUAGCAAGACUACCAAAAGCGAAAGCAGUUGGCUAGGCUAUACUCUUUGUGAGAUUGUUUUAUCCAUUUGCACCGGGCGUGUGUGACGUGAUGCGGCUGUCGUAUAUACUAAUAACACAUAUCAUCUAUUUAUACAACAGCACACGCACGCCCGCUCCACUGAUUUUCUUUUGUUGUAAUAACAACAAUAAUAAAAACAACACACUUUACAAUGAAGAACGAAGGUUGGGGGAUCAAAGAGGAUCAGAUACCCUCGUCGUCCCAUUAAUUACAUCAAACGAUGGGCUCUCAAUUGCAUUAUUAAUAAUAAUAGCAUAUGACCUCAACCUACUAAAUCUUAUUAACUCUGGCUUGAGCUCGUAGUUCGCUACGCUCGCCUAAACUUAUAUUGAUUUCUAUGUACGGUCUCAAUGAAGACAUAUGCAUUCUGUACUAAAAUUUAGCGUGUCUCGCUAUACAACUAAACGUAUCAAUCUGAUCUUUAUUGUAUCUAGUUAUUGAACUUUAGUUUGCGACACUUGAUUUUCGGAGCUUUGCGCUCAAUUCUGGUGAGAUGUAAGCACCAUGUUACGUGACCCGCAACGUAUACCUAUCGGGUAUUUCGCUUGUCGUGCGUCACUAACACUACAUUUAUUUUGGUGUGAAGCACGCUUUAGGCACGCGCUUACUGCAGAAAUGUCUGAGACAUUCCCCUCCGGGGGUAGUAUGCACGCAAGUGUGAAACUUGAAGGAAUUGACGGAAGGGCACCACAAGAACGCGUGGAGCAUGUGGCUUAAUUUGACUCAACGCGGGAAAUCUUACCGGGUCCGGACACACUGAGGAUUGACAGGCAAUAUUACAGUUUGAACUCUUUACUGAGUAUCGAUUGUAUGUUAAAUAUGCUAGUCCUUUCAUGAUUAUGUGAUAGGUGGUGCAUGGCCGUUCUUAGUUCGUGGAGUGAUCUGUCUGCUUAAUUGCGUUUCACUAAGGAACUAUAUUAUUCAUGUAUGUUGUUAGCGCAUUGACCCCUCGUUUUCUCUGUAAAUACUUUUCCCCCAAGAAAAUGGACGCCCAUUUUUAAUGGGAGCGUGGGGCUUUGAUUCUUACCUUUAGCUCAUACCAUUAGUUCCUGAAAGGAAAGAAAGGGACCGCAACCCCUUGUUGCCUUCAUUUCCAAUACGCGUGAAUAUAUUUGUUUUCGAUCAAGUAUCUGAAGUGUAUACGGAGGCUUUCUAAAUUUGAAGGACCGCUGGUAUCUUCUUUAACCCUAAGAAGGGUGCGGGGAUAACAGGGUUGUGAUGCCCUUAUAUGUUCCGGGGUGCCCACCUGCUACCAUGAUUAUUGCAGUGAGGAUCUCAUUUUAAAUUUAAUACUUCACAAGCGCGAGUCCGUUUGUUCUUUGUUUCUUUUCAUGCUGUUCAAAGCUUCAAAUGAGUAUCUCUGCCCCCCAUAAAGCCUGCUUUGAAAGUUUAAUGGGGUAUCAAUUAAAAAAAAUGAUUUCCUAAAUUUAUCGCACKUAWAKGUWUGGGGKYUUUACCCCRCUACCUUUUGUGCUAGARUKCGRGKGUAUYGACGAWUGGAUUUMWUGUWAAYCAAUUKMCUAAUYKUAUGGURCCUUWCCUGCAAWUGUCAAUUCAUGGGGGGGRGCAGCACCWWYKUACAUUGGUGGKSGUSGGYYUUCAACURRGAAWKCMUKGWACSGGUCUUUGGGUUCAACMGMMCMMCMGGAAUACGUCCCUGCCCUUUGUACCCYCCSCCCGUCCGCUUUWMCCGAWGGAMUUCUUCUGGKAGUUUGAGGGGAUGGGUYGYKCUAAUCCUGGGAAACUCUGUUUCUCAAGAUUAUAAUAGACCUAUGAAACUAAUC
Molecule: ribosomal RNA, 3505 nt
Filed under: Rupertina stabilis
Lineage: Eukaryota; Foraminifera; Rotaliida; Cibicididae
Description: small subunit ribosomal RNA
Rfam family: Eukaryotic small subunit ribosomal RNA (bases 402-3393)
Source: RNAcentral